Molecule: non-coding RNA, 3144 nt
Organism: Rattus norvegicus (Norway rat)
Lineage: Eukaryota; Metazoa; Chordata; Mammalia; Rodentia; Muridae
Source: RefSeq, a predicted model, not a curated record
AAAAGAAAAUUAUACGAAUUCUAGGUUUAAAAAUAUAAAAUUAAAAGAGUUAGCCCCAAAAGCCACAAACUCAGGGCUAAGCCCUGCCGCCAGGAAUAGCAGGCCAUAAAGAUAAAGAAAAGGAAUGCAAGAACCAGCUCAGGCUAUCGAGGACUGACCCAUAAACCAUCCAAAGACGUCCCCCCAGCUUACUCAGAGUCAUACUUUAACCAGAUGUCCUCCAGACCCUGAUAAGCCCCUACUUGUGCUUUUCAGCCAUUGUGUCCUACAGAGAGCAUUCCAGGAAACCGGGCAGCCCAAGCCUAACCAGAGGUGUUUCAAAUACAAAUGCUCCAUCAGUUUUGACAAACGUUUAAAAAUAAUGAGGACCUGAAGACCCUACCCUUCUCCUGAUUUAGUAGCUCUGUUCCAGGAACCAGGGGGCCAUAAAACCUUCUGGCGUCCCCUUAUCUCCUGGAGCCAUAAAACAAUCCUGUAACUUGUGGUGCAUUCCCCUUUGACAUCCCCCAUCCCCUGGUGCUCACAGCCUCUGCCUUUAAAUACUCUUUUUCCCAGCCUCUCGGGGUCGACACCUCUGUCUCCUGCGCGGGAUACGUGUCGGCCCGGAGAUCUCUGUAAUAGGUCUCCGUAAUAAACCUCGCCUUUGCUUAUUACAUCCAAAAUGGUCUCUCUGUGUCUGGGGUCCGCGAUUUCCCAAGACUUGAGUAAGGGUCUCUCUGCGUGGGAUCUUUCAUAUUUAUGGGGGCUCGUCCGGGAUCUGCGCGACUACCCCAGACUCCGAAGACCCCUUGGAGGUGAGUUGGAUGUUUGUCUGAGUGUUUCUGUGUGAGCGGCGCCGCAAUUGUCAGUCUGUGUCUGUCUCUGUUUUGGUUCCGCCGUGUGUGUAUAUAUGUGUGUCUUAGUACUGGUCAGUGUUAAGAGGGCAGAUGGGUAUUCCUGCCCUGUGUUAAGAGGGCAGAUGGGUGUUCCUGCCUUGUGCUAAGAGGGUGGAUGUGUAUUCCUGCCCUGUGGUAAGAGGGUGGAUGUGUAUUCCUGCCCUGUAGGAGAGUGGAUGUGUAUCCCCACUCAGUGCAGCUGCCUUUGUGGUCCGUGAGGACCCCCUGGCUGCGGAAGGGGGGACGCCCCGGGCCCGCAAGGCUGCAGCCCCUGGAAGACGUUCCACGGGCGGAGAACAGUCGGGAGAGCCCGGCUAUGGACAGUCAGGAGGACCUGACUCUGGUUUUCUGGAACAAAGGAGAUGGAAUGCUCCUUUUACCUAGGCGGGAGUGGACGAGGAAUCCCACUCCGUCAGAGGUCGAGUUCGGCUGCCUAUUUAAAUAUAGGCACGGACAAGUGUGCUUAGUCGUUAGGACAAGAGGACACUCUGGAAUCCUGUUGGGAGGUGGAAUCAGAUGGUCCAUCUCAUCCCAAAAGCAGCUAAGGUUAAGCUGCAGUUUGGGCCACGUACUGAAGGUCUUCUUUACCACCGAGGAAAGACAGAAUCCUACUAGAGGCCAGAAAAAGUGUUCCAGAGAUGGAUGGAAGGCCCUCACUUCUGCCUGCUCUCUUCAGACGCCUAAAGACCUGGAGCCACCACAGCACGAGUGUCAAACACUGACAGAAGCACAUGGGUGGAGGAAAGACCUGUGCGACUGGCUGAUUGACCCCUGCUGAAAGCCGAGGACCUUGUCCACAGACGGGAACAGUUCUCUUCAUGAAUAAAGGUCAGAGAUAAGUGGGUGCUGCCAUGGUGGAAAACACAAUGUCAUCUGGGAUGGCUGAACCUCUACCCCCCCAGCACAUCAGCGCCACAGAUAUCUUUGCCAUCUCUUAGAUGCCCUGAUGAAGCCAACAACUGUGAGUACUAUUCAUUGCUCAGGAUAUCAGGAGGGAAGUGAUUCAGUGACAUGGGACAAUAACAAAACAGAUAAAGUGGCUCGGGAAAUGGCUAUGCAGGAGCCUAUCCUGGUUACAGGCCUACAAGAAACAGCCACUGAGAACUAGGAUCGGACUAAGGGAUGGCCUCACUUAGAAAAGGCCCAAAUUGCUUAAAAGAUAAAGGACAAUGGCACACUUGAGGGGAAGCUAUACUCCCCAGAGAACAAAGAAAAGACUCACUUUGCCAAAUAAAAAAAUAGACUCAUUUAAGAGAUAAGAAGUUUGUCCAAAUAGUUAAAAUAUAUAUAAUAGACUUUAAGAUUUUAGCCAAGAGAGACAAUAAAAAAGUAUAAAAUACGUCAAUAAAUAAAUGCUUAACAAACAGGACAAAGAGACCUAGAGAGUUUAACGAAAAGUCGAAGUGAACUUCACUGAGAUAAAACCAGAAAAAUAUAAUCUCCUAGUGCUUGUAGAUACUUUUUCAGAAAUAGACAGAAGCUUUCCUCACCAAACGAGAGACGGCCUCUGCAAUCAUCAAGAAGAUACUGAAAGAAAUCUUCCCCAGGUCUGGAAUGCCCAAGGUAAUCUGGUCAGACAACGGUCCUACUUUCGUUGCCAAGGUAAGCCAGGGUGUGGCCAAAUAUUUAGAGGUCGAUUGGAAAUUACAUUAUAUUUACAGACCUCAAAGUUCAAGACAGGUAGAGUAAAUAAACAGAACUCUAAAAGAGACCCUAAACAAAUUGACCAUGGAGACUGGCACAGACUGGGUGACACUCCUUCCCUCCUGCUCUCUUCAGAGCAAGAAAUACCCCUUCCAAAUUCAGCCUUACCCCCUUUGAGAUCUUAUAUGGGGCCUCAGCUCCUCUGACUGUAUUAGAUGAUGUUACUGAACCAACAUGUCAUAGUAAUAAUGAUUUGUGUGCCAGGCUAAAAGACCUACAGGUGAUACAGAAAGAAAUCUGCUCACAGCUGACAGCAGCCUAUGCCCCGGAGACCCCUGAGACAUCCCAUCAGUUCCAGGUCGGAAACAGCUACACUGAGCCCAGACACUCGAUCCUCGCUGGAAAGGACCAUACCUGGUGCUGCUGACCACCCUGACAGCCGUCAAUUCUCAGCCCUCACCAGCCGUGUACUAGCUGUUAGGGCUGAGAGCUGGGACCUAGAGAGAAAUUCAGUCAUGUUUGUCCUGGGUUCCAUCGAGAUAGGUGUGGGGAUAGGCUUGAUUUCUAUUACAAAUAAUGUAACAUUACAUAUGUUAGUACUCCUAACACUUCUUGGGACUGUGCC